RNAcentral lists this ribosomal RNA (622 nucleotides) under uncultured bacterium. RNAcentral's name for it is "bacterial SSU rRNA". It matches the Rfam family "Bacterial small subunit ribosomal RNA", at positions 202 to 842 of the family's 1533-position model. The record is from RNAcentral.
CAAAGGAGCAAUCCGCUGAAAGAUGGGCUCGCGUCCGAUUAGAUAGUUGGCGGGGUAACGGCCCACCAAGUCGACGAUCGGUAGCCGGACUGAGAGGUUGAACGGCCACAUUGGGACUGAGACACGGCCCAGACUCCUACGGGAGGCAGCAGUGAGGGAUAUUGGUCAAUGGGGGAAACCCUGAACCAGCAACGCCGCGUGAGGGAAGACGGUUUUCGGAUUGUAAACCUCUGUCCUCUGUGAAGAUAAUGACGGUAGCAGAGGAGGAAGCUCCGGCUAACUACGUGCCAGCAGCCGCGGUAAUACGUAGGGAGCAAGCGUUGUCCGGAUUUACUGGGUGUAAAGGGUGCGUAGGCGGCCUUGCAAGUCAGAAGUGAAAUCCAUGGGCUUAACCCGUGAACUGCUUUUGAAACUGUAGGGCUUGAGUGAAGUAGAGGCAGGCGGAAUUCCCGGUGUAGCGGUGAAAUGCGUAGAGAUCGGGAGGAACACCAGUGGCGAAGGCGGCCUGCUGGGCUUUAACUGACGCUGAAGCACGAAAGCGUGGGUAGCAAACAGGAUUAGAUACCCUGGUAGUCCACGCCGUAAACGAUGAUUACUAGGUGUGGGGGGUCUGACCCCCUCC